ACUAAAUGUUGCUGUCACGGUCUCUCGAAUCGCUUGAUCGAGAGCUAAGAGGGAAUCCGGUGUGGCGAAAGCCGAAGCCGGAGCUGCCCCCGCAACUGUAAGCGGCGAGCCGACGUCACCGAGUGCCACUGGGAGCAAUCCCGGGAAGGCCGACGAAGGCAUUGACCCGCGAGCCAGGAGACCUGCCGCGACAACGACUACGUC
Molecule: non-coding RNA, 204 nt
Filed under: Rhodopseudomonas palustris
Lineage: Bacteria; Pseudomonadati; Pseudomonadota; Alphaproteobacteria; Hyphomicrobiales; Nitrobacteraceae
Also listed under: 1 other name
Source: RNAcentral